RNAcentral lists this ribosomal RNA (390 nucleotides) under uncultured Synergistaceae bacterium. RNAcentral describes it as "bacterial SSU rRNA". It matches the Rfam family "Bacterial small subunit ribosomal RNA", at positions 992 to 1382 of the family's 1533-position model. The record is from RNAcentral. Lineage: Bacteria; Thermotogati; Synergistota; Synergistia; Synergistales; Synergistaceae.
UGACCGCGUAUGAAGUACGUUUCACCUCGGGUGACAGGGAGACAGGUGGUGCAUGGUUGUCGUCAGCUCGUGUCGUGAGAUGUUGGGUUAAGUCCCGCAACGGAGCGCAACCCCUACGUUUAGUUGCUAACGCGUGAAGGCGAGCACUCUAGACGAACUGCCGUUGACAAAACGGAGGAAGGUGGGAUGACGUCAAGUCCUCAUGGCCUUUAUGCUUAGGGCUACACACGUGCUACAAUGGGUGGUACAAAGAGAAGCCAACUCGCGAGAGCGCGCCAAUCUCAAAAAGCCAUCCUCAGUUCGGAUUGGAGUCUGCAACUCGACUCCAUGAAGUUGGAAUCGCUAGUAAUCGCGGAUCAGCAUGCCGCGGUGAAUACGUUCCCGGGCCUU